AUGGAAGAAGCAACAUCUAAGAUGACGGAAAUUAUUUCAGAGCCCACAGUUACACUGGAAAAUGAGGUAAAAAAAAAAUAGAAUUCUGCUCACUACCUUACAGAAAAACAAGCCAGACAAAAGGGUGGAAUGGUUAAGAGACAGUGUUGACAAUGAGCACUUGGACUAUCGCUCAUCUAAAUGCUGCUGCAUUUAUCAAAAGCCUCAUGCCUUUGGUGAAAGCUCCUCAGAGAGUGAAAAAGAGGAUGAAGAAAAUUGUAAUUUCAUGCUAUAUUUCUGGGGUCAUCACAAUGGACGGCAUCAUUCCCUUCCCAAUAGGGCUUCUAGUACUUUAUCUAAAAAACCUUGAGACACAUCUCAUCCUCUUCCUUCACCCAUGAAG
Molecule: long non-coding RNA, 382 nt
Filed under: Homo sapiens (human)
Lineage: Eukaryota; Metazoa; Chordata; Mammalia; Primates; Hominidae
Description: non-protein coding lnc-FAAH2-1:14
Source: RNAcentral